RNAcentral lists this transfer RNA (71 nucleotides) under Ictidomys tridecemlineatus (thirteen-lined ground squirrel). RNAcentral describes it as "Spermophilus tridecemlineatus (thirteen-lined ground squirrel) tRNA". It matches the Rfam family "tRNA". From Rfam's summary of the family: Transfer RNA (tRNA) molecules are approximately 80 nucleotides in length. Lineage: Eukaryota; Metazoa; Chordata; Mammalia; Rodentia; Sciuridae. The record is from Rfam by way of RNAcentral.
GGGGCUGUGGCUCAGUGGUAGAGUGCUCGCCUAGCAUGUGUGAGGCACUGGGUUCAAUUCUCAGCACCCCA